UACAGAGGCCUCAAGCGUUGUUCGGAUUCAUUGGGCGUAAAGGGUGCGUAGGCGGCUUGGUAAGUUGAAGGUGAAAUCUCGGGGCUUAACUCCGAAACUGCCUUCAAUACUGCUGAGCUCGAGGAUUGUAGAGGAGAAUGGAAUUCACGGUGUAGCAGUGAAAUGCGUAGAUAUCGAGAGGAACACCAGUGGCGAAGGCGAGUCCCUGGACAGGUCCUGACGCUGAGGCACGAAAGCUAGGGGAGCAAACAGG
Molecule: ribosomal RNA, 253 nt
Filed under: uncultured bacterium
Lineage: Bacteria
Description: partial 16S ribosomal RNA
Rfam family: Bacterial small subunit ribosomal RNA
Source: RNAcentral